Molecule: ribosomal RNA, 1345 nt
Filed under: uncultured bacterium
Lineage: Bacteria
Description: partial 16S ribosomal RNA
Rfam family: Bacterial small subunit ribosomal RNA
Source: RNAcentral
GACGAACGCUGGCGGCGUGCUUAACACAUGCAAGUCGAACGGAAAGGCCCUGCUUUUGUGGGGUGCUCGAGUGGCGAACGGGUGAGUAACACGUGAGUAACCUGCCCUUGACUUUGGGAUAACUUCAGGAAACUGGGGCUAAUACCGGAUAGGAGCUCCUGCUGCAUGGUGGGGGUUGGAAAGUUUCGGCGGUUGGGGAUGGACUCGCGGCUUAUCAGCUUGUUGGUGGGGUAGUGGCUUACCAAGGCUUUGACGGGUAGCCGGCCUGAGAGGGUGACCGGCCACAUUGGGACUGAGAUACGGCCCAGGCUCCUACGGGAGGCAGCAGUGGGGAAUAUUGCACAAUGGGCGGAAGCCUGAUGCAGCAACGCCGCGUGCGGGAUGACGGCCUUCGGGUUGUAAACCGCUUUCGCCUGUGACGAAGCGUGAGUGACGGUAAUGGGUAAAGAAGCACCGGCUAACUACGUGCCAGCAGCCGCGGUGAUACGUAGGGUGCGAGCGUUGUCCGGAUUUAUUGGGCGUAAAGGGCUCGUANGUGGUUGAUCGCGUCGGAAGUGUAAUCUUGGGGCUUAACCCUGAGCGUGCUUUCGAUACGGGUUGACUUGAGGAAGGUAGGGGAGAAUGGAAUUCCUGGUGGAGCGGUGGAAUGCGCAGAUAUCAGGAGGAACACCAGUGGCGAAGGCGGUUCUCUGGGCCUUUCCUGACGCUGAGGAGCGAAAGCGUGGGGAGCGAACAGGCUUAGAUACCCUGGUAGUCCACGCUGUAAACGGUGGGUACUAGGUGUGGGGUCCAUUCCACGGGUUCCGUGCCGUAGCUAGCGCUUUAAGUACCCCGCCUGGGGAGUACGGCCGCAAGGCUAAAACUCAAAGGAAUUGACGGGGCCCCGCACAAGCGGCGGAGCAUGCGGAUUAAUUCGAUGCAACGCGUAGAACCUUACCUGGGUUUGACAUGGAUCGGGAGUGCUCAGAGAUGGGUGUGCCUCUUUUGGGGUCGGUUCACAGGUGGUGCAUGGCUGUCGUCAGCUCGUGUCGUGAGAUGUUGGGUUAAGUCCCGCAACGAGCGCAACCCUUGUUCACUGUUGCCAGCACGUUAUGGUGGGGACUCAGUGGAGACCGCCGGGGUCAACUCGGAGGAAGGUGGGGAUGACGUCAAGUCAUCAUGCCCCUUAUGUCCAGGGCUUCACGCAUGCUACAAUGGCUGGUACAGAGAGUGGCGAGCCUGUGAGGGUGAGCGAAUCUCGGAAAGCCGGUCUCAGUUCGGAUUGGGGUCUGCAACUCGACCUCAUGAAGUCGGAGUCGCUAGUAAUCGCAGAUCAGCAACGCUGCGGGACCUCUGAUCGCGGGGC